UUUUAAAAUAUAAAUUUAACGGUUUAAAACAUAUUGUGUUUGCGAGAGUUUUAUAACUAGUAAAUUUGGGGUUGCAAUAGGGAUUAGUCGGCGAUGACCAAAAUAAAAUAUAAUCUAUAAUUACAAAUAUAUUCUUGUUUACUUAUAUAUGUAAUUAUAAAGGGAAUUUUAUAAAAUCUACUACUUUUUCUGGAGUUCUUUUACAAUUUCUACAACACAAAGCUUUCUUUUACACAUUGUACCACAUUUCAUUAUCACAUGCACAUUUGUGGACGAAAUUGUCCUAGAUGGUGACAGACUGAUGUGACAGCCUUUUGUUUUUGUCUCCAGAUCUUGUCUCCGAUUAGAAAUUCUCUAUUGCGUCUACGCCUUGUCUUCGAUUUUAUCAUCUUGCUCUAUUAUUAUGAAUCCCACAUCUUGUCCACCAAUUGUUCUCAUUUAAAGAUUUUGAAUUUUAUUUAGAUUUUUUGCCAUCUAUUUUGGUCCACAGAUUAGUUGAACGUUAUUGUCUUCACCUGAACAUUUACAAUUGCAUAUAAUUCUAUUUUAAUAAUAUAUUAUAUCGGGGAUAAGUUAAUAUCGAAUGAGUGAUAGAAUUAGAUAAGGGACAAAUUCAGAUCGAAAUGAUAGACAAGAUAAUAUGUUAUAACUGGAUCUUUUUGUUAUUUUGCAAUCGAAGGAAAAAAAGCAAUAAUCUGGAUUGGUGAAGACAAUAAUGUUCAACUAAUCUGCGGACCAAAAUAGAUGGUGAAAAAUCUAAAUAAAAUUCGAAAUCCUUAAAUGAAAAACAAUUGGUGGAUAAGAUGUGAGAUUCAUGAUAAUUUUGAAAGAUGAUGAAAUCGGGGACAAGAUCUAUAUACAACAGAAAAUUUCCAAUCGGGGACAAGAUCUGGAGACAAAAACGAAAGUUAUUUGUUUAGUCUCACGAAAUAUAAUGUUUAUUGGUUGAAGCGCACGUGUGUCGAGGGAAUAGAGAUUAAUAGAAAGAAAAAAUAAAUAGAGAGGUAAGAGAAAUAGAAAGGAGCGAUAAAUAAGAAAAUAAAUAUAGAGGGUAAAUUAGUAAUUUCAAUAGGAAAUGUCGUAGGAGUUAAAAGGGGAUUGGAAAUGUGGUAGAUUUUAUAAGAAAUUGAAAAAAAUGGUAAUUGAUGUAAUUUUCCCAAUUAUAAAGAAAAAUUCAUUCAAAUGCUCUUUUCAUGAUGCCCCUUUUCAACUCUACCUUUUCAUGAUGCCCCUUCUCAUUAUGUAGAUUUUUUUUUUUUUUU
RNAcentral lists this small RNA (1262 nucleotides) under Arabidopsis thaliana (thale cress). RNAcentral describes it as "ATSL280810". The record is from RNAcentral. Lineage: Eukaryota; Viridiplantae; Streptophyta; Magnoliopsida; Brassicales; Brassicaceae.